UCAAAAACAUGUCUUUUUGAUAAUAAUUUAAAGUCUAAUCUGCCCACUGAUAAAUUAUUAAAGGGCUGCAGUAUAUUGACUGUACAAAGGUAGCAUAAUCAUUUGUCUUUUAAUUGAAGACUUGUAUGAAAGAUUUGAUGAAAUAUAAACUGUCUCUAAUUUAUAAAUAAAAAUUAAUUUUUUAGUUAAAAAGCUAAAAUGUUAUUAAAAGACGAGAAGACCCUAUAAAGUUUUAUAAUUUAUUUAUUUAUUUUUAAUUGUAGGUGUAAAUAUUAUAAUUAAAAUAAAUUAUUUUAUUGGGGUGAUAGAAAAAUUAACUAAACUUUUUUUUUUAAGAAACAUUUAUAAGUGAGAAAUUGAUCCAUUAUUAGUGAUUAAAAGAAAAAAUUACUUUAGGGAUAACAGCGUAAUAUUUUUUUUUAGUACAGAUAAAAAAAAAAGUUUGCGACCUCGAUGUUGGAUUAAGAUAAAAUUUAAAUGCAAAAGUUUAAAAUUUUGAUCUGUUCGAUCAUUAAAAUCUUACAUGAUCUGAGCU
This 535-nucleotide ribosomal RNA is filed under the name Anthanassa otanes. RNAcentral's name for it is "partial 16S ribosomal RNA". It matches the Rfam family "Bacterial large subunit ribosomal RNA", at positions 1807 to 2611 of the family's 2925-position model. Lineage: Eukaryota; Metazoa; Arthropoda; Insecta; Lepidoptera; Nymphalidae. The record is from RNAcentral.